UGGGGAAUAUUGCACAAUGGGGGAAACCCUGAUGCAGCGACGCCGCGUGAGCGAAGAAGGUUUUCGAAUCGUAAAGCUCUGUCCUAUGAGAAGAUAAUGACGGUAUCAUUGGAGGAAGCCCCGGCUAAAUACGUGCCAGAAGCCGCGGUAAUACGUAUGGGGCGAGCGUUGUCCGGAAUUAUUGGGCGUAAAGGGUACGUAGGCGGUAUAUUAAGUCAGGUGUGAAAGCGUGAGGCUUAACCUCAUUAAGCACUUGAAACUGAUAGGCUUGAGUGAAGGAGAGGAAAGUGGAAUUCCUAGUGUAGCGGUGAAAUGCGUAGAUAUUAGGAGGAAUACCGGUGGCGAAGGCGACUUUCUGGACUUGAACUGACGCUGAGGCACGAAAGCGUGGGGAGCAAACAGG
This 403-nucleotide ribosomal RNA is filed under the name Verrucomicrobiota bacterium. RNAcentral describes it as "Verrucomicrobia bacterium partial 16S ribosomal RNA". It matches the Rfam family "Bacterial small subunit ribosomal RNA", at positions 355 to 776 of the family's 1533-position model. Lineage: Bacteria; Pseudomonadati; Verrucomicrobiota. The record is from RNAcentral.